CCUACGGGUGGCAGCAGUGAGGAAUAUUGGUCAAUGGACGAGAGUCUGAACCAGCCAUGUCGCGUGCAGGAUGACUGCUCUAUGAGUUGUAAACUUCUUUUGUACGGGAGUAAAACGUUAUACGUGUGGGCUUUUGUAUGUACCAUAUGAAUAAGGAUCGGCUAACUCCGUGCCAGCAGCCGCGGUAAUACGGAGGAUCCAAGCGUUAUCCGGAUUUAUUGGGUUUAAAGGGAGCGUAGGUGGAUUGUUAAGUCAGUUGUGAAAGUGUGCGGCUCAACCGUGAAAUUGCAGUUGAAACUGGCAGUCUUGAGUACAGUAGAGGUAGGCGGAAUUCGUGGUGUAGCGGUGAAAUGCUUAGAUAUCACGAAGAACUCCGAUUGUGAAGGCAGUUCACUGGACUGCAACUGACACUGAGGCUCGAAAGUGUGGGUAGCAAACAGGAUUAGAUACCCGGGUAGUC
RNAcentral lists this ribosomal RNA (460 nucleotides) under uncultured bacterium. RNAcentral describes it as "partial 16S ribosomal RNA". It matches the Rfam family "Bacterial small subunit ribosomal RNA", at positions 338 to 795 of the family's 1533-position model. The record is from RNAcentral.